Molecule: ribosomal RNA, 209 nt
Filed under: Fidelibacterota bacterium
Lineage: Bacteria; Pseudomonadati; Fidelibacterota
Description: partial 16S ribosomal RNA
Rfam family: Bacterial small subunit ribosomal RNA
Source: RNAcentral
ACAAUGGAGAGUUUGAUCCUGGCUCAGGACGAACGCUGGCGGCGUGCUUAACACAUGCAAGUCAAGGAGAAAGGUUCCUUCGGGAAACGAGUAAACUGGCGAACGGGUGAGUAACACGUAGGUAACCUGCCCUAGAGACUGGGAUACCCUCGGGAAACCGGGAUUAAAACCGGAUAAUGCAGCGGGUCCUUCGGGACAUUGUUGUUAAA